GACUCUCGGCAACGGAUAUCUUGGCUCUCGCAUCGAUGAAGAACGCAGCAAAAUGCGAUACUUGGUGUGAAUUGCAGAAUCCCGUGAACCAUCGAGUUUUUGAACGCAAGUUGCGCCCGAAGCCAUUGCGCCGAGGGCACGUCUGCCUGGGCGUCACG
RNAcentral lists this ribosomal RNA (158 nucleotides) under Fraxinus xanthoxyloides. RNAcentral's name for it is "5.8S ribosomal RNA". It matches the Rfam family "5.8S ribosomal RNA". Rfam says of the family: 5.8S ribosomal RNA (5.8S rRNA) is a component of the large subunit of the eukaryotic ribosome. It is transcribed by RNA polymerase I as part of the 45S precursor that also contains 18S and 28S rRNA. Functionally, it is thought that 5.8S rRNA may be involved in ribosome translocation. Lineage: Eukaryota; Viridiplantae; Streptophyta; Magnoliopsida; Lamiales; Oleaceae. The record is from RNAcentral.